GGGAUUAGUGGCGAACGGGUGAGUAACACGUGAGUAACCUGCCCUUAACUCUGGGAUAAGCCUGGGAAACUGGGUCUAAUACCGGAUAUGACUCCUCAUCGCAUGGUGGGGGGUGGAAAGCUUUUGUGGUUUUGGAUGGACUCGCGGCCUAUCAGCUUGUUGGUGAGGUAAUGGCUCACCAAGGCGACGACGGGUAGCCGGCCUGAGAGGGUGACCGGCCACACUGGGACUGAGACACGGCCCAGACUCCUACGGGAGGCAGCAGUGGGGAAUAUUGCACAAUGGGCGCAAGCCUGAUGCAGCGACGCCGCGUGAGGGAUGACGGCCUUCGGGUUGUAAACCUCUUUCAGUAGGGAAGAAGCGAAAGUGACGGUACCUGCAGAAGAAGCGCCGGCUAACUACGUGCCAGCAGCCGCGGUAAUACGUAGGGCGCAAGCGUUAUCCGGAAUUAUUGGGCGUAAAGAGCUCGUAGGCGGUUUGUCGCGUCUGCCGUGAAAGUCCGGGGCUCAACUCCGGAUCUGCGGUGGGUACGGGCAGACUAGAGUGAUGUAGGGGAGACUGGAAUUCCUGGUGUAGCGGUGAAAUGCGCAGAUAUCAGGAGGAACACCGAUGGCGAAGGCAGGUCUCUGGGCAUUAACUGACGCUGAGGAGCGAAAGCAUGGGGAGCGAACAGGAUUAGAUACCCUGGUAGUCCAUGCCGUAAACGUUGGGCACUAGGUGUGGGGGACAUUCCACGUUUUCCGCGCCGUAGCUAACGCAUUAAGUGCCCCGCCUGGGGAGUACGGCCGCAAGGCUAAAACUCAAAGGAAUUGACGGGGGCCCCGCACAAGCGGCGGAGCAUGCGGAUUAUUUUCUAUAAACCCGAAGAACCUUUACCAAGGUUUGACUUGGACCGGCACCGGCACAAAAAUGUGGUUUCCCCUUUGGGGCCGUU
RNAcentral lists this ribosomal RNA (934 nucleotides) under Arthrobacter sp. CB 286525. RNAcentral's name for it is "bacterial SSU rRNA". It matches the Rfam family "Bacterial small subunit ribosomal RNA", at positions 88 to 1031 of the family's 1533-position model. The record is from RNAcentral. Lineage: Bacteria; Bacillati; Actinomycetota; Actinomycetes; Micrococcales; Micrococcaceae.